AUGAUCGCGCUUUCCGAUCCAUACCGCGGCGACCACCACAUCACCGCCCUGGCCUCCUCUCUCGAUGGCACCCACCAUUGGUGGCUCACUGGAGUGUAUGGCCCGCACGGAGAUGAUGACAAGAUUGCCUUCCUCGGUGACCUUAGUGAGGUCCAAUCAUUGCGUGCUGGUCCUUGGAUCCUCGGGGGCGACUUUAACACGAUCUCCGGGGCAGCGGACAAGAAUAACUCCCGGCUCAAUCACCGGGUCAUGUCACAUUUCUGCCGCUUCCUCGCCGAUGAGGAGUUGCGCGAUAUUUACCUGCAUGGGCAGCGAUAUACUUGGUCAAGCGAGCGUGGCACCCCAACGCUCACGCGCAUCGAUAGGGUGCUCUAUAAUUCUGCAUGGGAGGGGCUCCACCCGCAUUGCAUGCUCUGUGGCCUCUCCUCUGCAGCAUCCGAUCAUGCGCCUCUCCUUCUAGAAUGCACCGCGCGCUCGCCUGGCACUAGGAGAUUUCACUUCGAGAGGUUCUGGCCGUGCACUAAGGGUGAUGUCUACUACGCAACCUUCUUCUUGUAG
RNAcentral lists this ribosomal RNA (558 nucleotides) under Triticum aestivum (bread wheat). RNAcentral's name for it is "partial small subunit ribosomal RNA". Lineage: Eukaryota; Viridiplantae; Streptophyta; Magnoliopsida; Poales; Poaceae. The record is from RNAcentral.